GGGGCGUGGACGGUUUGAAUGGGGGCGCCCGAGAAAUUGACAACAUUGGGAGGGUGCCCACGUGGUGCGCUCCGGAGGGCGGCAGGGUGGGCGGGCUGACGAGGACGUGCUUUCCUUUUUUUUAAUUCUUGGCUUCUCUUCCCCUUUUUUUUAAUUUGAUGGAUAUAUAAGAUAAUAACAGGUAGGACGAGUACCGACUAACGAUCGAGUUCGCUCUGCCCGCAGUCACUGUUUGGGAGUUUGUUCUUUUCGACGUGUGCCCUGGUCGCUUCUCCUCUCUCCGCCCCUUGGUACUUGCAGCUUUUGGAGUCUUCCAUGUGCCCGCUGCCACGCUUCCCUUCCUCCCAGAGUAUUUCUAUUGUUCGAGACACA
This 372-nucleotide long non-coding RNA is filed under the name Brachypodium distachyon (stiff brome). Its description in RNAcentral is "long non-coding RNA (BDIS_LNC000172)". The record is from RNAcentral. Lineage: Eukaryota; Viridiplantae; Streptophyta; Magnoliopsida; Poales; Poaceae.